CCUACGGGAGGCAGCAGUGGGGAAUAUUGCGCAAUGGGCGAAAGCCUGACGCAGCGACGCCGCGUGAGGGAUGAAGGUCUUCGGAUCGUAAACCUCUGUCAGCAGGGAAGAACGGUCACUGUGCUAAUCAGCAGUUAAUUGACGGUACCUGCAAAGGAAGCACCGGCUAACUCCGUGCCAGCAGCCGCGGUAAUACGGAGGGUGCGAGCGUUAAUCGGAAUUACUGGGCGUAAAGCGCUCGUAGGCGGUAUGUCAAGUCAAGGGUGAAAUCCCCGCGCUCAACGUGGGAACUGCCUUUGAAACUGGCAAACUGGAGUGUGUGCGAGGAUAGUGGAAUUCCAGGUGUAGGAGUGAAAUCCGUAGAUAUCUGGAGGAACAUCAGUGGCGAAGGCGACUGUCUGGCACAUAACUGACGCUGAGGAGCGAAAGCGUGGGUAGCAAACAGGAUUAGAUACCCGGGUAGUC
RNAcentral lists this ribosomal RNA (465 nucleotides) under uncultured bacterium. RNAcentral describes it as "partial 16S ribosomal RNA". It matches the Rfam family "Bacterial small subunit ribosomal RNA", at positions 338 to 795 of the family's 1533-position model. The record is from RNAcentral.